AAAAAAACUGACUGUAAGUCAUGUGGUAAAGAACUAUCAAGGCGGAGGGCACAGCUGGUGAAGAAACCUGCUCAGUGAACUUGAGGAGUAGCAAGGAGGCUCCUUUAAGGAAUGACACAAGGAUCCCCUAUGUUUUGGAGAUGCGGCUUGCUGAGAGACUUCAACUGUCAGUUCUAUGAAGAGAAUGUCUCAUCUGAAGAGAACCACCUUGCCCAAGGUUCAGCUGCUUUCUGAAGCAACUUGCAUCUAAUGCCUCAUUGAAAGAAAGGAAUUCAUCCCAAAGUCACUUCCCCACACACUUAAAACACACUUCAACUGAAUCUGUAUCUCAAGAUCUGCUCCCCUGGAAACACAGCCUAUGACAAUAAAAAGGGAAUAAUUAUCUUACAGUUGGACAUAGGUCUAUACACUUUUAGGACCAAGAGUUACAUUGGACAUGUGAAUCAGAAGUUCGCACAUAACAAUUGGAACUCAUUUGAUCAGUUUAAAUACAGUAAUUUAGGGGUGAAUGUAAAUAGGAAGACAAAGAAAAAUCUGAGGAAAUUGUGGUGUACUGGAAGUAAACCAAAUAAGUCUCUGAUAAAGAGAAAAUUAUCAGUUUUGUUACAUUUUGCUGAGGAGUAGAAUGAAAAGAGAGAAUGGUUUGUCAAUGGAAUGGUUAUUGAGGUUUCAAAGGUAGUCAUUUUGUUGAAUUAAUCCAACUGAAAUCCUGGUUAAAAAAAAAUAUAUAUAUAUAUAUAUAUAUAGAGAGAGAGAGAGAGAGAGAGAGAGAGAGAGAGAGAGAGAGAAAGAAAACUAAGAAAAAUGACUACAAUUUUCUCCAGUCAGUCUGAAGAACAAAUGUGAGAAGUCUUUUGCAGUGAAAGGAAGCAGAGAAUUGGGGAAACAGCAAGAAGAGAUCAAAGGAGACUUUGUUGUUGCUAUAGUUUUAAUUACAAGUUAUCAUAGCAGAUUGAAACCCUGUGGAAAUGAUUAGAUAGGGUAAAAAUUUCUUAUGAUGCAGAAGACAAGAAGGCAAUAUUGGUUCUUGAAAAGACCACAGUUGACAUCAGUAGGAUCCUGUAGAGUGUGACCAGGGUUAGCACUAAGGCUUCAAUGAAAAUACGGAGCAUGAGAGAUGCUCAAAAUAAAGCUCUUCUCUUUUCCACUGAAUUUCCACCUCUGGCCUGAGGGACAGUCACAAAUUCUCAUGUAAGUACAUCUGCCCAAACAGCCACAGGACCUCUGCUCUAAGUCAUAUUAGAAAAUACUAUUUUCACCUAUUAAUUUAAGUCUUAAUUAUUUUCAGAAAGAACUUGAAAAUAUGGCUUUAUGUCUAUAUCUCAAGGUUUCUAAGCCAUCUCUCCUCUUGAGUGGAAAAUAAAAUUCACCUAUUCACUUAAGAUAUAAACUAGAAACAGAAAUAAAUCCUAGAUCCAUUAAAGCAUUUAAGUCACAGCCUAUGUAUCUCCUAGGGUUAAAUAUUAUAUUUUUUAUGUUUCUUUUCUGUUUAGAGAAGGAAGGAGCAAGAAAAAAAUAUUUAGGAGUUAAUUAUUUCAGUUGUUACCAACAUUCAUCUUUCUCUAACUUCCUUAACAUUUCCCUGACGAUGGCUAUGAGCACAUUAUUGUCGGUGGAAACUUUACACAAGACUAAGUUAUUCUUUGGGAAGGGGAAGGUACUUACAUAUGAAAAGAAAAUACACAAACAUAUGUUUUCCUCACUGUUAACAGCUUUAUAUACUUCGAAGAUGAAAAGUAAUUCCUAGAUAAUACACAUUCCAUAGUGUCACAAGGGAUUUUGUCCCAUGGUGAUCAAACUUUUUUAAACUUAAAUCAAAAUGUUGCUUUAAAGAACAAAUAUUUUCUCUAUGAAUGUCAUUUAAUUUUUUGUAAGGACCAAAUGAUUGGACUUUUUCUCUCCCAUCUACUCCCCUAUUAAUUCAGUACAGAAGAUAAAUUAUGGUUUAGAAUUGCAUAAUCAAUAUCAGUGUCAUGUAUUUCAACAGGAAGACUUUUCUUAUUCACAUUUAUCCAAAGCAAGAUAACCUACUAAAUUAGAAUAAAUCAUACAUUAUAUAAUUAAUAUGUGAAAUAAGAAUCUUAUAGUACAAUCUGCAGUGUUCACUUAUACAGUAACACCUUAAAGAACUAAUAUGCUCAGAGAGAAGCACCUUUGAUCGCAGAAGAGUGAAUCUCCAAAUAAAGUAUUGUAUUCAAAGUGAUUCCCUAAUAUAACUGAUACUGUCAGUUCAGGAGUGAGAUUCAUGAUCACUGUAUCUGUACAGUAGUAAAACAUUCAUGAAUCAAAUUCCUGUAUCAUUUUUCAGAGCAAAAGUACAUCCUAAUUUAUAAAAAAAGAAAAAGAAAGAAAAAGGAGAAAGACCCCCUGAAAUUUCUAGAACAUUUCAAAGAUGUCAGAAAAACAAACCAGCACCCCUGACUGAACCUGUGAAUGAACAGGGACAUGCUAUAAGACAGCUUUCAUUUAAUUCAAACAGUUCUGGAAAAGGAUCAAUUUUGUAGUGAGAUUAAAGCAGUGGGAACUAAAAAUAAUAAUAAUUCCUUGAGGCUUCUAGGUUAAAUUCUACAGCUUUUGGAGUUAUUUUAAAAAAAUGACUGGAAAGUAUAAAAAUGAAAAGAAAACACACAUUGCAAACUGACAAAACAUCUGUUUACCCUGAUACCCAAGUAGUACACUGUUUUUUCAUCAAGUAACCAGAGGUGGCCAAUCCCCAACUUCUUGGUCUGCGUCUCACUUUUCUCUAUUUCUCAUGUUAUUUGUCUCUGAGCCAUUUAACCUGCUAUUGUAGUUUCCAGCAAGGAGAAACCAGGAAAAGGAAAAAGAAUCAAACUAUCACAGCUAGCCCAUUCACUGAUAGAUGGAACCAGAAUUUUAAACCAGAGGGGAUAUAUAGUUUUCCUAAUGUCAAAUAGACAUUAUCCAUAUAAUACUUUUCAUUGCUUUUGUAAAGAAUCAUGAAGCAAACAUAAGAAAGUAAAAUCAAGACUGAUUUUUUAUUUAUUAGACAGAAAAGUAAUGAUCAGCCAUCCAGGUAGAUGUAUUCUAUUAUUGAGAGAAUUAUUGGCUUGUCUGAGAAAAACUGAGGAACUAAGACAGUGAUGGCAAACAGUUUAGAGAUGAGGGCCCAAACUGCAACACAAAACCCACUUACUUAUCACAAAGUGCCAACAUUGCGAUUAAACCUGGAUACUGAGGUUUUAGUUUAGAAAAAACAACUCAUACACUAACAUCCUUUUUGUCUUAAAAGCCAAACAAAUGACACACAUUCCAUAGGUUUUUCACCCUUGAACUAACCAAACCUCCAUCACCAGGAAAGGAAGUACUGAAUAAUAGUAGUUAGUACAUAGACCCUAAGGGCAGAUGGCUUGCCUUGGUAUUCAAAAUCUGCACCAAGUUUUUAUUAGACAUUGAAAAAGUUACCUUACACUCUGAUUAGGAACAUUAAAGAAAAGGAAAUUUCAAGUGGUUAGUGCAGUCUUAUACACUACCCACAAGUGGGUAUAUGUAGUCUUGUCUUAUAAUAGUUCUUGAUUAAAAUCAGAUAUCAAUGAUGUCAUUGUUAACAUUGAUUUCCUCCUCAUCUGUAUCUUGGGCUUCCAAAAUAUCAUUUUAUUUUCUAAAUUGCAAGUGGCCAAUUUUCUCAGUGGAAUGUGUAAGAAUCAAAAAGGGGUGAACAUAUUUUAUGUAAUGUAUCCAUUUCCAAUUAUUCUCUGACAUUUCACUUUCUUGUUCAUUAUUCCAAUUGCCCAGUACUUUCUUGCUCACUUUAAAAAUCCCAGUUCUAUUAGGGGUUUACAGAAAAGCAACAACAUUGAUUUUUCCUCAUCCACAAAAAAGACAAAAAUAACUACCCUUACUUUCUUUUUCAUUUGAAGUACUAUGUAGUUUACAUUUUAUCUCUUGUAUUCUCCUCUUCCCAACCCCAACAAAAAUCUCCAUAGACAAUAAGUUUAGUUUCCUAAACUUUUAAUUUUUUUAUAUCCA
Heterocephalus glaber (naked mole-rat) is the source of this 3987-nucleotide non-coding RNA. The record is from RefSeq and is a predicted model, not a curated record. NCBI's taxonomy places the organism in Eukaryota, Metazoa, Chordata, Mammalia, Rodentia, Bathyergidae.